GCAUUCUGGGGGUCGUUUCGGCUUGUGGUUGUUUUCUUGGCCUUGGUGCCAAGGGGGUGGCUGYAAGUUGGGUGGUCUUCGGGGAUGACGACCGUAAAGGUGCAUGAGUGGUGUUUGGUUUGUUACGGGUGGUUGGUGAUCUGCUUGAGCAGCGCCUUCUACGCGUUCAURCCUCUUCAGUUGUGCGACAAGACUUUAUUUGUCUUGAGCAUGUGGUGGGUUUCCUGUGUUGCAUACCUAAUCGAUGGCAUCGUUUGGMUUUGAUCAAAGCCCCUUUCGUGAUGCGUCGCUUGCGGCGUUGAACGGACCUCGAAAYGGUCUCUGUGGUCCAUGUAUUCGUUGCGCAUGCAUCGAUGGCAUGGCCCUCGGAGCGUYGUUUGGACUCUUGGAUACGGAACCUGAUGUGGGCUGUAGUUUCUUCAUUGAUGCUAUUGUUGCCCUCGUUGAGCGUUCUCGCUUCUCUAAACGACCKACUAUCAUGYAUUGGCAUGCCUGUGCAUGGUGUGGUGGGCUGUGUCGAAGAGGAAUGCUACCUGGUUGAUCCUGCCAGUAGUCAUAUGCUUGUCUCAA
Molecule: unclassified non-coding RNA, 570 nt
Filed under: Hieracium candidum
Lineage: Eukaryota; Viridiplantae; Streptophyta; Magnoliopsida; Asterales; Asteraceae
Description: partial external transcribed spacer
Source: RNAcentral